AACGAACGCUGGCGGCAUGCCUAACACAUGCAAGUCGAACGAGACCUUCGGGUCUAGUGGCGCACGGGUGCGUAACGCGUGGGAACCUGCCCUUAGGUUCGGAAUAACUCCCCGAAAGGAGUGCUAAUACCGGAUAAUGUCUUCGGACCAAAGAUUUAUCGCCCUUGGAUGGGCCCGCGUUGGAUUAGCUAGUUGGUAGGGUAAAAGCCUACCAAGGCGACGAUCCAUAGCUGGUCUGAGAGGAUGAUCAGCCACACUGGGACUGAGACACGGCCCAGACUCCUACGGGAGGCAGCAGUGGGGAAUAUUGGACAAUGGGCGAAAGCCUGAUCCAGCAAUGCCGCGUGAGUGAUGAAGGCCUUAGGGUUGUAAAGCUCUUUUACCCGGGAUGAUAAUGACAGUACCGGGAGAAUAAGCUCCGGCUAACUCCGUG
RNAcentral lists this ribosomal RNA (433 nucleotides) under uncultured bacterium. Its description in RNAcentral is "partial 16S ribosomal RNA". It matches the Rfam family "Bacterial small subunit ribosomal RNA", at positions 29 to 507 of the family's 1533-position model. The record is from RNAcentral.